This 430-nucleotide unclassified non-coding RNA is filed under the name uncultured fungus. RNAcentral's name for it is "partial contains 5.8S ribosomal RNA and internal transcribed spacer 2". The stretch from base 1 to 133 matches the Rfam family "5.8S ribosomal RNA", at positions 22 to 154 of the family's 154-position model. Lineage: Eukaryota; Fungi. The record is from RNAcentral.
UGGCUCUCGCAUCGAUGAAGAACGCAGCAAAGCGCGAAAUGUAAUGUGAAUUGCAGAAUUCAGUGAAUCAUCGAAUCUUUGAACGCACCUUGCGCUCUCGGGUCUUCCUGGGAGCAUGCUUGUUUGAGUGUCGCUACCUUCUCAACCCCGCGCCUUUCUCUGAAAGGGGCAGGCCCGCGCAGCCCCUCAGGGGUAGCAACGGCGAAAGGGCUUUGGAUCAUGACGCCUUGUCGCUCUGGCCUUAAGGGUUCCCCCUGGUCGAAUGACUGCGUUCAAAUGCAAGAAGCCGAAUCCUCAACCUGGCGGCUUGACCUGUUGUCAUAAGUCUACACUUUCAAUGGGGACGCUGGUUGGAAUGGGCUUACCACAAACGCAUCGCAUGGUGCACUUUUGACACUUUGACCUCAAAUCAAGUAGGACUACCCGCUGA